Myotis myotis is the source of this 902-nucleotide long non-coding RNA. RefSeq lists it as uncharacterized. NCBI's taxonomy places the organism in Eukaryota, Metazoa, Chordata, Mammalia, Chiroptera, Vespertilionidae. The transcript has 2 exons. The record is from RefSeq and is a predicted model, not a curated record.
UGAAGUAGCAACGAAAAUAAUUUUAUGGUUGCGUCACAACAUGAGGAACUGUAUUUAAAGGGCCAGAAGGUUGAGAACCACUGCUUUAGACCAUUCUAUUCAUGUGGAACCUAACAUUGUUCAAUCAUAAAAAUUUCUGAUAAAUAAUCUCAAUUGACAAUUUUCCUCUCCCCCUCUAGUCAAAUAAAAACUGAGCUUUAUGACCCUCCUUUUCACCUUGGGGAAGAAGGGCUGGAAAAAGACUCUACACUGAAAAGGCAGCCAUAUUUGCAAAUUUUCCCCUAGUGCAGAGAUAAGGGUUGUCCUGGGUUUUGUGAAACAUCACAAAAUGGCAAUCCCUGAACUGACUUUUCUCUAGGAACCACUGAGACCUACACCCUCUUUUGUUUGUUUCUGGUCCUCACAAACAAAGAACCUCAAUCACUAGGAAGACUUGGUUCUUUCCUUUAAUGUUAACAUUAAAGUGUCGUAUUUUUCUCUAAACGGUUUACAGACCUCUCUAAGCAGAUUCCCUAAGCAGUACAGUGAAGAGAAGCAGUCGCCUGGGUUUGCAAAGUGUUUUCUGAAGGUUUAUGCAAAUUUCUGCAGCAAAACUGUUUGUUCAGUUGCCGCAAUCCUCGGAUGUUAACAGAUUUUAGCCAAUUAGAAGAGCAUCUUCUGCACUCGUCACUGCAAGUCUCAUAAAAUACCAUGAUGGGCGGUUUCUAGCUACUAUAAAAAAGAAGGUGGGUUUGUUUCAAAUAGGUGAGGCCAUCCUGGAGAACAACAGAGGACGUACCAACUGACAUCUGAGAUGCACAUGGUAAGUUGGCUCAAAAUGGGCACACAAACAGAGAGAAGAGAAUACAAAUAAAUAUGGCACCUACUCAAAAAAAAAAAAAACACCAAAAACACCAAAAAAA